Molecule: transfer-messenger RNA, 341 nt
Filed under: Verrucomicrobiota bacterium
Lineage: Bacteria; Pseudomonadati; Verrucomicrobiota
Description: partial transfer-messenger RNA
Rfam family: transfer-messenger RNA
About the family: Bacterial tmRNA, also known as 10Sa RNA or SsrA, is named for its dual tRNA and mRNA-like properties.
Source: RNAcentral
GGGGGCGACAUGGUUUCGACGUGUAGGUUGAAGCCAUUGUGGCACGCCGAGGACCCCGGUUGGCCUCGUAAAUCGUCCGGGAAAAAACAUAAAAGCCAACGAACAAUUGGCCCUCGCGGCUUAGUAUCGCGACGUUCGACCCCCAACGCCUGCUAGGCGGAUUCGAGCGACGACAGCAGGCUGGCUUCUAUGCCGGGCGACCGGGCGGCGAAGCGAGAACUUUCGUGGGCGCUGGCGGCAUGUCGAGCCUGUCCGUGGGCAUGGCAUGCGGCGAUGACUUAAUUGCGGAAUAAGCGUGUAGAUGCAAUGGUGACUCGUAUGCGGACGCGGGUUCGACUCCC